This 468-nucleotide ribosomal RNA is filed under the name uncultured bacterium. RNAcentral's name for it is "partial 16S ribosomal RNA". It matches the Rfam family "Bacterial small subunit ribosomal RNA", at positions 28 to 507 of the family's 1533-position model. The record is from RNAcentral.
GACGAACGCUGGCGGCGUGCUUAACACAUGCAAGUCGAACGGAAAGGCCCUGCUUUUGUGGGGUGCUCGAGUGGCGAACGGGUGAGUAACAAGUGAGUAACCUGCCCUUGACUUUGGGAUAACUUCAGGAAACUGGGGCUAAUACCGGAUAGGAGCUCCUGCUGCAUGGUGGGGGUUGGAAAGUUUCGGCGGUUGGGGAUGGACUCGCGGCUUAUCAGCUUGUUGGUGGGGUAGUGGCUUACCAAGGCUUUGACGGGUAGCCGGCCGGAGAGGGUGACCGGCCACAUUGGGACUGAGAUACGGCCCAGACUCCUACGGGAGGCAGCAGUGGGGAAUAUUGCACAAUGGGCGGAAGCCUGAUGCAGCAACGCCGCGUGCGGGAUGACGGCCUUCGGGUUGUAAACCGCUUUCGCCUGUGACGAAGCGUGAGUGACGGUAAUGGGUAAAGAAGCACCGGCUAACUACGUG